CUGGAACGCGCCCUAGGCGCACCCAGAAACCCUUUGUGAACUUAUACCUUACUGUUGCCUCGGCGCAUGCUGGCCCCCUCGGGGUCCCCUGGAGACAGGGAGCAGGCACGCCGGCGGCCAAGUUAACUCUUGUUUUUACACUGAAACUCUGAGAAAAAAACACAAAUGAAUCAAAACUUUCAACAACGGAUCUCUUGGUUCUGGCAUCGAUGAAGAACGCAGCGAAAUGCGAUAAGUAAUGUGAAUUGCAGAAUUCAGUGAAUCAUCGAAUCUUUGAACGCACAUUGCGCCCUCUGGUAUUCCGGAGGGCAUGCCUGUUCGAGCGUCAUUUCAACCCUCAAGCAUUGCUUGGUGUUGGGGCACUGCCUGUAAAAGGGCAGGCCCUGAAAUCUAGUGGCGAGCUCGCUAGGACCCCGAGCGUAGUAGUUAAACCCUCGCUUUGGAAGGCCCUGGCGGUGCCCUGCCGUUAAACCCCCAACUUUUGAAAAU
RNAcentral lists this ribosomal RNA (489 nucleotides) under Diaporthe sp. Eu003. RNAcentral's name for it is "eukaryotic LSU rRNA". The stretch from base 175 to 328 matches the Rfam family "5.8S ribosomal RNA". The record is from RNAcentral. Lineage: Eukaryota; Fungi; Ascomycota; Sordariomycetes; Diaporthales; Diaporthaceae. RNAcentral also lists the same sequence under 1 other name.